CUGUUUUCUUUCUCUACUUUGCCCUUUGUUCCUUUGUGAAGAGUCCUGCUGUAGCGGGGGAAUCUGCUUUUUUUUCCCACCUCAUAGUGGCUGAGAUUCAAUGCCGUGGGUAUUGUGUGAGCUGGUUUGCUGCAGAUUUGUGUAAUCGUUGCCCCUGUCAGGGCGGUGGAAUUUCUUUCUCUCUUUUUUUGCUUUCCUGCUGGAUUUGUCAACUGUGUUUGCUAUAUUAACAUAUGCUGGGGAUUCCUUGCUCUUUCAAUUAAACGGGCUAUCAGUAACAGCAGAAGCCUGGAGAUGCUGAACCUCUGAGGACAGGAACGGCGAGAGAGCAAGACCCAUGGACUGUGUUGCACAUGGGUCAGUGAAACAGCAGCUUUCCCACACACCUGGACAUACCAGAGAACCAGCCUGACCAAAGGAGCUCGCACCUCAUUGCCCAGAUGCGACCUCUGGCAGGGCCCCUGCUCUGCGAAAAUGGGCAUUCUUCAAUGGAUACCCAUAGAGAACAGGCUAUGGUUUGCCUACAGGCCGUGGUGGAGAUCUGAAAGUUCAGGCGACUUCCCUCUACCCUCCCUGCUCCUCUUCUCCCCCCCUCUCUCUGAGGCUCUCUUCGGUGACGGGUAUUCUUGGGUGGAUAAUACGGAUCACGUUGUUAUUGCUUAAGAAUACGCGUAGUUGAGGAGAGUCAUUUACGACCGCGCCUUUGGGGAGCUGACCUCUGCUGAACACUUUCCGAAACAUCCCGGCCCGGGCUGCCUCCGUCACACUGUUAGGCACUGGAAAAAGGAGGGAAAAGACGUUUCUAUUGGGGUUCAUUUAUCAGUCCACCACAUAAUCAUUUUCUGCCGCACUUUCAUUGAUUUCUCCCCUGCAAGCCUUCAUGUCGCUAUUACUUCAGCAUUACAGCGAGCUGCGUCAGGAGAGCGGCGUUUCCCGCUCUCCUGUUGAGACAUCCGUUAUACCAUUCUUUGUCAUGCAUUUUUAUUUCCUCCCUCCAUCUUGCUAUCAUCCAUCCCGCCUAAGUGAGGGUUUAUGUAGCGCUAUUCAGCAAGUCGCAUUUUGCA
Electrophorus electricus (electric eel) is the source of this 1064-nucleotide long non-coding RNA. RefSeq lists it as uncharacterized. NCBI's taxonomy places the organism in Eukaryota, Metazoa, Chordata, Actinopteri, Gymnotiformes, Gymnotidae. The record is from RefSeq and is a predicted model, not a curated record.